AGAAACUUAAAGGAAGUUGAGGGGGCCCGCGACAAGCGGUGGAGUAUGUGGUUUAAUUCGAUGCAACGCGAAGAACCUUACCUGGUCUUGACAUCCCGGAGACCCUUAGGAAACUAGGGGGUGCUUCCAUCUGGAAGAAUCUGGAGACAGGUGCUGCAUGGCUGUCGUCAGCUCGUGUCGUGAGAUGUUGGGUUAAGUCCCGCAACGAGCGCAACCCUUGCCUUUAGUUGCCAGCAGUUCGGCUGGGCACUCUAAAGGGACUGCCGGUGUUAAACCGGAGGAAGGUGGGGAUGACGUCAAGUCCUCAUGGCCUUUAUGACCAGGGCUACACACGUACUACAAUGGCCGAUACAAAGGGCAGCGACACUGCGAGGUGAAGCCAAUCCCGUAAAAUCGGUCUCAGUCCGGAUUGGAGUCUGCAACUCGACUCCAUGAAGUUGGAAUCGCUAGUAAUCGUGGAUCAGCAUGCCACGGUGAAUACGUUCCCGGGCCUU
Molecule: ribosomal RNA, 494 nt
Filed under: uncultured Desulfobulbus sp.
Lineage: Bacteria; Pseudomonadati; Thermodesulfobacteriota; Desulfobulbia; Desulfobulbales; Desulfobulbaceae
Description: bacterial SSU rRNA
Rfam family: Bacterial small subunit ribosomal RNA
Source: RNAcentral